This is a regulatory RNA element of Peptostreptococcus anaerobius CAG:621, 116 nucleotides long. It matches the Rfam family "FMN riboswitch aptamer (RFN element)". Rfam says of the family: The RFN element is a highly conserved domain that is found frequently in the 5'-untranslated regions of prokaryotic mRNAs that encode for flavin mononucleotide (FMN) biosynthesis and transport proteins. This element is a metabolite-dependent riboswitch that directly binds FMN in the absence of proteins. NCBI's taxonomy places the organism in Bacteria, Bacillati, Bacillota, Clostridia, Peptostreptococcales, Peptostreptococcaceae. The record is from Rfam.
AUAAAUCUUCGGGGGUGGGUGAGAUUCCCUACCGGCGGUAUAGCCCGCGAGCCAUUAUGGCAUGAUUUGGUGAGAUUCCAAAGCCGACAGUAAAGUCUGGAUGAAAGAAGAUAGUG